This 493-nucleotide ribosomal RNA is filed under the name uncultured bacterium. RNAcentral's name for it is "partial 16S ribosomal RNA". It matches the Rfam family "Bacterial small subunit ribosomal RNA", at positions 29 to 523 of the family's 1533-position model. The record is from RNAcentral.
AUUGAACGCUGGCGGCAUGCUUUACACAUGCAAGUCGAACGGUAACAGGUUAAGCUGACGAGUGGCGAACGGGUGAGUAAUGCAUCGGAACGUACCCGAUCGUGGGGGAUAACGCAGCGAAAGCUGCGCUAAUACCGCAUACGAUCUGAGGAUGAAAGCGGGGGACCGUAAGGCCUCGCGCGAUCGGAGCGGCCGAUGUCAGAUUAGGUAGCUGGUGGGGUAAAGGCUCACCAAGCCAACGAUCUGUAGCUGGUCUGAGAGGACGACCAGCCACACUGGGACUGAGACACGGCCCAGACUCCUACGGGAGGCAGCAGUGGGGAAUUUUGGACAAUGGGCGAAAGCCUGAUCCAGCAAUGCCGCGUGCAGGAAGAAGGCCUUCGGGUUGUAGACUGCUUUUGUACGGAGCGAAAAGGCUCUCUCUAAUACAGGGGGCUCAUGACGGUACCGUAAGAAUAAGCACCGGCUAACUACGUGCCAGCAGCCGCCGUAA